Molecule: ribosomal RNA, 292 nt
Filed under: uncultured Acidovorax sp.
Lineage: Bacteria; Pseudomonadati; Pseudomonadota; Betaproteobacteria; Burkholderiales; Comamonadaceae
Description: partial 16S ribosomal RNA
Rfam family: Bacterial small subunit ribosomal RNA
Source: RNAcentral
GUGUCAGCCGCCGUGGUAAUACGUAGGGUGCAAGCGUUAAUCGGAAUUACUGGGCGUAAAGCGUGCGCAGGCGGUUAUAUAAGACAGAUGUGAAAUCCCCGGGCUCAACCUGGGAACUGCAUUUGUGACUGUAUAGCUAGAGUACGGUAGAGGGGGAUGGAAUUCCGCGUGUAGCAGUGAAAUGCGUAGAUAUGCGGAGGAACACCGAUGGCGAAGGCAGCCCCCUGGGAUAAUAUUGACGCUCAUGCACGAAAGCGUGGGGAGCAAACAGGAUUAGAAACCCUAGUAGUCC